GCUAGCUCAAAAAGCGCAGUGCUGAAGUCACACUGAUGUCACUGCAGAAGCCCAGAGGAGCUAAGGAGAGUGGGAAGUGAUGGAGCAUCAGAGCCCAACAGACAGAUGGGGUUUCUCCUUUCUAACUACAUGAGGACGCCCGACCUCUUCAGGCCCUGUUCCCCUGGGAAUCGAUAAUAUCACAUCACAGUUUUGCUGAGCAGAUGACACUAAGAUCACAUAGGUGAGCACACCCGGCACACAGUAGGCACUUCACAUGCACUUGUUCCCUUCCCUUUAGAGCCAAGCCCUCUUGAAGAAACCCACCUGGAUCUGGUCACCAGUGACUCAGAAGCCCAACGUGCGUGCAGCUUACAGAACGGUCACACGCGAUCCUGUGUGUCAUGAUCUCGCUAUUCUUUCGGUUCUAGUGUUUUCCUUUAUUCACCCCCUCCUAGGUGUCUUUAAGCAGCUCUGCUCUCUGGUUUCCCCAAGCAGAGUUCCAUUUUCUCGGUACCUCUCCACAUGCCUGGAUGGUGCUCUCUAGCAGUGGUUGGGGCUGGCUGUGGUUUCUGAGCUUCUAAGAUCCCCCAGACCCCUGCUGGAAGUGAGUUCCUGCCUUGGGUGUGCCUGAGUGUGCUGAGUCGAAAGUCAUUUUUUUUUUUUUUUUUUUUUUUUUUUUUGCGGGGAACUGUGCGUGCACAACACAGCCAGGGAGUGACCUAGUCCAGGGAGCCUAGUCUCCCCUUAACACAGCAUGCGGAAGAAUAAAGACCCAGGCUCUAUCAUAAAAUGGGGGCAGGUAAAGAGCAGUUAGGCGAGGGGGCGUGGGCCGUCAGGGUAGGGGCCUCAGUAAACAGAGUUGAACAAGGGCCUCUCCCAGCUCCACCCUGGCUUUAAACCCCAUGGUUUGCAGUUCGGCUCCAGAGGCCUCCCAGUGACCCCAAUCUCAUUCCUCUCGACUCAACAGUGAUGGCGGAAGGCAGGAAGAUAAGCUGGACUCCUUGAAGCCGACACCCCCCAGGGAAAUUCCAUCACCCGCCUUGAGCACUGUAGACCGGGCUGGGCUGUCCCCCCUUGGAAGUAGGAAGCAGAGGGAAGACGGAGCCAGUGUCCUCCACCUGUUUGCAGACGCGCCUGUGCAGGAGGCAGGAGAGACUCCAAGCCCACUACCUACAGAGUCCUGGCUUCUCAAGUAAGGUUAAGUGCAGAGAAGGCACCAGAGUCCCUGGGAUCUGCUACUUUAACUGGGGAGACCUGUAAGUAACAUCGAAUUACUAGGUUCUCUAGUAAUCAUUUUCCCUCUGAAAAGAAUUCAAUGCCCAUAGGAGAUGGAGCUUCCGGUAGCCUGAAGCAGCCCAUCUGGGCCUGGAUGUUGUUUCGUGUGGAAGAUGGUAUUUGCAUCCUGGGGAAAGCAUCUUGGUGUCCAGGCUCUGGCUGUGGGGGUUAGGUGCCUGCAACACCCCCUCUCCCCUGUCAUCCCUCCUGAGCCAGGCAGGCCUUCAGCACUCCCUACCACUGAGACUAUAGACUGAGAAGUAACUCCCUGUCGCUGGGCCUCCAUGAUGUCGGUCUUCUGUACCUUACAGGCCUUGCCUCAGUGCUGCCCACCUUCAUGUCUGGGAGAGUCUUCAUUGAUUGCUGGGGACCAAAACCAACUUAGACUAGGGAUCCCAGUUCCAGCACCCAUGCCCAGGGCCCUUUCUUCCUUUAAAAUAGACGGCUGACUCUGGCCCUUCUUCACUGAUGGGCGAUGGCUUCCUGCACUGCUUUGUUUUCUUCUUCAUCCAAGUGUUGUCCUGUGAAUCUCAGAGUGUGGUCUUUGGACCAACGGCACCACCGUCACCUGUGAGCUUGUUGACUGCAAAUUCUCUGGUUCUACCCAAGACCUGCUGAAUCCGAGACUCUGGAGGCAUGGCCAUGCUAUCUGUAUUUUAACAAGCACUCCAGGGGAUUCACGGGCAUGCUUAAGUCUGAGAACCACUGGUGCAGUAUAUUACCUAGGAGCCCUGAGUAGGACACUUCAUUUAGUUUUCUGAUCCACACAAGGAGAACCCGUCCGGGCGCAUGAGGCUUGCGGGUACAGAGUGUGUCUUCCCAAGGAAGGCAGGCUACCUACCUCCCACGUGUCCGGCAUGUAACCCAUCAGCUGACUCCUGACAGUGCAGAGGCCAGAGGCCAGAC
RNAcentral lists this long non-coding RNA (2163 nucleotides) under Homo sapiens (human). RNAcentral's name for it is "HSALNT0028944". The record is from RNAcentral. Lineage: Eukaryota; Metazoa; Chordata; Mammalia; Primates; Hominidae.